GCGAGCGCGACAGCCGGUCGGCGAGUGCCGCGCACACAGUGAUCUGCGGUUCUUCCUCCCGCAGCUUCGCAGAGUGUGUGUUCGCCGUUCCUCACAUUUGUGUACAGUGACACGGGGUGUUGUACUUCGUUCUGUGAACUCUCGGUUGUGGACAGUGGUCAUCUGCGUCGCGGGCGAGAGAGCUGCGUGCGUUCAGUGCACUGAUGAUGUGUGCGCCAUGCUGAGGGAGAGACGACUGGCGGGCGUGGUUGAUGUUCGCCCACACUGCUGGGAACUCUAGACAAUCCGUCCAUCGUCGAGUCUAGCCUAGAGCUGCUACAGCUAUGCAAGAUAUGGCAACAAUGCAGCAACACACUGCAACGUCACCUGCUCCGGCCACAACAGUGGGUGUUACCCAAGAUGCCAGUUCGGAUCCGGUCUCUGCCGACGACAAAUGCAGCCCCGCCGUGCAGCAAGAGACGUCUCGCACGGACGUGGAAAUGUCCGGCGAGCGCCCUGUGGCAGCG
This is a long non-coding RNA of Schistocerca cancellata (South American locust), 506 nucleotides long. RefSeq lists it as uncharacterized. The record is from RefSeq and is a predicted model, not a curated record. The transcript has 3 exons. NCBI's taxonomy places the organism in Eukaryota, Metazoa, Arthropoda, Insecta, Orthoptera, Acrididae.